Molecule: ribosomal RNA, 460 nt
Filed under: uncultured bacterium
Lineage: Bacteria
Description: partial 16S ribosomal RNA
Rfam family: Bacterial small subunit ribosomal RNA
Source: RNAcentral
CCUACGGGGGGCAGCAGUGAGGAAUAUUGGUCAAUGGACGAGAGUCUGAACCAGCCAAGUAGCGUGAAGGAUGACUGCCCUAUGGGUUGUAAACUUCUUUUAUAUGGGAAUAAAAUGUUCCACGUGUGGGAUUUUGUAUGUACCAUAUGAAUAAGGAUCGGCUAACUCCGUGCCAGCAGCCGCGGUAAUACGGAGGAUCCGAGCGUUAUCCGGAUUUAUUGGGUUUAAAGGGAGCGUAGGUGGAUUGUUAAGUCAGUUGUGAAAGUUUGCGGCUCAACCGUAAAAUUGCAGUUGAAACUGGCAGUCUUGAGGACAGUAGAGGUGGGCGGAAUUCGUGGUGUAGCGGUGAAAUGCUUAGAUAUCACGAAGAACUCCGAUUGCGAAGGCAGUUCACUGAACUGCAACUGACACUGAGGCUCGAAAGUGUGGGUAUCAAACAGGAUUAGAUACCCUUGUAGUC